RNAcentral lists this ribosomal RNA (435 nucleotides) under uncultured bacterium. RNAcentral describes it as "partial 16S ribosomal RNA". It matches the Rfam family "Bacterial small subunit ribosomal RNA", at positions 29 to 507 of the family's 1533-position model. The record is from RNAcentral.
AGCGAACGCUGGCGGCAGGCUUAACACAUGCGAGUCGAACGGGCUUCUUCGGAAGUCAGUGGCAGACGGGUGAGUAACACGUGGGAACGUGCCCUUCGGUUCGGAAUAACUCAGGGAAACUUGAGCUAAUACCGGAUACGCCCUUUUGGGGAAAGGUUUACUGCCGAAGGAUCGGCCCGCGUCUGAUUAGCUUGUUGGUGGGGUAACGGCCUACCAAGGCGACGAUCAGUAGCUGGUCUGAGAGGAUGAUCAGCCACACUGGGACUGAGACACGGCCCAGACUCCUACGGGAGGCAGCAGUGGGGAAUAUUGGACAAUGGGCGCAAGCCUGAUCCAGCCAUGCCGCGUGAGUGAUGAAGGCCUUAGGGUUGUAAAGCUCUUUUGUCCGGGACGAUAAUGACGGUACCGGAAGAAUAAGCCCCGGCCAACUUCGUG